AGGUAGGGAGAUGAAAGGCUGGUCAGGGUAGCUCAGUUUUUGCUUUGGAACCUUCCAGAAACACUUUGUAUCAGCAUAUUGUCAAAUGUGACUUUAAGAACAUCCGGUAAGGGUUCCUGCCCCUGUCUGGUUUAGGCUUAGUACAAAAGGACCCCAGCAAAAGGCCAGAACCUCUCACUCUCUGAUUUGGCUUCCUUGGCAAUAACACUGCCUUUGUCUGCCUCAGAAGGAUGCUGAAUCCUCAAGUCUAGGAGAUCCCUACCUCGCUGCUAAACCACAUCAGUUCUUCACUGCUGAGCUGUGAGCCUUUAAA
Molecule: long non-coding RNA, 313 nt
Filed under: Bos taurus (domestic cattle)
Lineage: Eukaryota; Metazoa; Chordata; Mammalia; Artiodactyla; Bovidae
Description: long non-coding RNA NONBTAT009648
Source: RNAcentral